UUUUUUCCAAAUUUCCAACACCGAGAAUAACACCUAAAUUUUCAAGCCAAAUCACAAAUAGUCCAACUCAUUAAACUUUUACACAAUAGAAAAUAACUCAAAAGCUCUUACAGAUUGUUAUCUGUGCAAUCUUUGCAUACAAAAGUAUUUGGCAGACCCCUCAAAUAUCCACAGGCUACGACAAGAAUGUGUCCUAAAGAAGAAAACAUUUUUUAUAAG
RNAcentral lists this unclassified non-coding RNA (219 nucleotides) under Hevea brasiliensis (rubber tree). Lineage: Eukaryota; Viridiplantae; Streptophyta; Magnoliopsida; Malpighiales; Euphorbiaceae. The record is from RNAcentral.